AUGACUAUACUUUCAGGGAUCAUUUCUAUAGUGUGUGACUAGAGAAGUUUCUCUGAUCGUAGAGCAUCCGAAGGCACGAGGAGGAGUCAGAGCGUCCUCUCCUGAGCGUAAAGCCGGUUCUAGGAGUUGCUUCUGAGACUUCCUCUUGCCAUUGAUGAUUGUUUCCCCUUUUCUCUGAAAAGGGUUGAGGGAGAGGAUGCAGUCUGAGUGGU
Molecule: small nucleolar RNA, 212 nt
Organism: Suncus etruscus (white-toothed pygmy shrew)
Lineage: Eukaryota; Metazoa; Chordata; Mammalia; Eulipotyphla; Soricidae
Product: small nucleolar RNA U3
Exons: 1
Source: RefSeq, a predicted model, not a curated record